GUAGGUGGCAAGCGUUGUCCGGAAUUAUUGGGCGUAAAGCGCGCGCAGGCGGUUCUUUAAGUCUGAUGUGAAAGCCCACGGCUCAACCGUGGAGGGUCAUUGGAAACUGGAGAACUUGAGUACAGAAGAGGAAAGCGGAAUUCCACGUGUAGCGGUGAAAUGCGUAGAGAUGUGGAGGAACACCAGUGGCGAAGGCGGCUUUCUGGUCUGUAACUGACGCUGAGGCGCAAAAGCGUGGGGAGCAAACAGGGAUUAGAUACCCUGGUAGUCCACGCCGUAAACGAUGAGUGCUAAGUGUUAGGGGGUUUCCGCCCCCUUAGUGCUGCAGCUAACGCAUUAAGCACUCCGCCUGGGGAGUACGGCCGCAAGGCUG
RNAcentral lists this ribosomal RNA (373 nucleotides) under uncultured organism. RNAcentral describes it as "partial 16S ribosomal RNA". It matches the Rfam family "Bacterial small subunit ribosomal RNA", at positions 527 to 896 of the family's 1533-position model. The record is from RNAcentral.